RNAcentral lists this long non-coding RNA (256 nucleotides) under Elaeis guineensis (African oil palm). RNAcentral describes it as "long non-coding RNA (EGUI_LNC028909)". The record is from RNAcentral. Lineage: Eukaryota; Viridiplantae; Streptophyta; Magnoliopsida; Arecales; Arecaceae.
GGGGUAAGAAUGACCUCGAUCUAUGGUAUCCAAAAACGGCAUCAAGAGAGUUGGAAAAGGCGGGAGAAGCCAAUAUUUUUUUAUUAAAAAAUUAUUACGGUGAACUUCUCAUCAUCUAUCGUCAGGAACAAAUACCUGCAAAAUAGCAUCCACACAGACUGGAUUUGUGUUCGACGGAAACCCUCCGAUAUCUAAGUCAAAGAGAGAAGUUGGUGAACAGGAGUUGAAUGUAAGCAAUAACAGAGUUUUGGCCCAG